CAAUAAGCGGAGGAAAAGAAWCCAACAGGGAUUGCCUUAGUAACUGCGAGUGAAGCGGCAAAAGCUCAAAUUUGAAAUCUGGCGUCUUUGGCGUCCGAAUUGUAAUUUGGAGAGGCAACUUCGGAGAUGGUGCUGUCCUAAGUUCCUUGGAACAGGAUGACAUAGAGGGUGAGAUCCCCGUGCCUGGAUGGCUGUCCAUCUUCAUGUGAAUUGCCUUCGAAGAGUCGAGUUGUUUGGGAAUGCAGCUCAAAAUGGGUGGUAAAUUUCAUCUAAAGCUAAAUAUUGGCGAGAGACCGAUAGCGCACAAGUAGAGUGAUCGAAAGAUGAAAAGCACUUUGAAAAGAGAGUUAAAAAGUACGUGAAAUUGUUGAAAGGGAAGCGCUUGAGACCAGACUCGAUUCGUGGUGAUCAGCUGUGCUUCUGUACGGUGCACUCGCCAUGGAUUGGGCCAGCAUCGGUUCUGACGGUGGGAUAAAAGGUUGAGGAAUGUGUCUUCCUUCGGGGAGUGUUAUAGCCUCACUCACAAUGCCACCAGCUGGGACCGAKGACCGCGCUUCGGCUAGGAUGCUGGCGUAAUGGUCUUAAGCGACCCGUCUUGAAACACGGACCAAGGAGUCUAACAUCUAUGCGAGUGUUCGGGUGGAAAACCCUUGCGCGUAAUGAAAGUGAACGGAGGUGGGAACCCGCAAGGGUGCACCAUCGACCGAUCCCGAUGUCUUCSGAAGGAUUUGAGUAAGAGCAUAGCUGUUGGGACCCGAAAGAUGGUGAACUAUGCCUGAAUAGGGUGAAGCCAGAGGAAACUCUGGUGGAGGCUCGCAGCGGUUCUGACGUGCAAAUCGAUCGUCAAAUUUGGGUAUAGGGGCGAAAGACUAAUCGAACCAUCUAGUAGCUGGUUCCUGCCGAAG
Molecule: ribosomal RNA, 905 nt
Filed under: Wilcoxina cf. mikolae ectomycorrhiza V70
Lineage: Eukaryota; Fungi; Ascomycota; Pezizomycetes; Pezizales; Pyronemataceae
Description: eukaryotic LSU rRNA
Rfam family: Eukaryotic large subunit ribosomal RNA
Source: RNAcentral